Molecule: long non-coding RNA, 306 nt
Filed under: Elaeis guineensis (African oil palm)
Lineage: Eukaryota; Viridiplantae; Streptophyta; Magnoliopsida; Arecales; Arecaceae
Description: long non-coding RNA (EGUI_LNC049084)
Source: RNAcentral
CCAAGUUAGAUCCAUACUCAUCGUCAGCACCUAUGUGGCUAGUUAAGAAGUAUCUUGAUCUGGCAUGGUAAGUUAAGAACUACAAUAGUACUGACAUGGAUGGAUGUCAGGCAAAAAAAUAUCUCCCACAUACACGUGAGCUGCACAUGCUUGUCUCUAUCAAAACUUUUUCUUUCAUUCCCUCCCAACUUUCAACCAUUGCUAUCAGUCCCUUUCUCUCAAAUUCCUUUAAAAAAAUCUAGUGUUUUGGAUGUGAUUUGUUGCAUAUUUUGCUUCAAAUAAGUAGGAAGAUAAAUUGCUCCAAUC